UAGGGAAUCUUCGGCAAUGGGGCACCGUAGCACUGAGCAACGCCGCGUGAGUGAAGAAGGUUUUCGGAUCGUAAAACUCUGUUAUUAGAGAAGAAUGUGUAGGAGAGUAAAAAGUUCUUACAGUGACGGUAUCUAACCAGAAAGGGACGGCUAACUACGUGCCAGCAGCCGCGGUAAUACGUAGGUCCCAAGCGUUGUCCGGAUUUAUUGGGCGUAAAGCGAGCGCAAGUGGUUUAAUAAGUCUGAUGUAAAAGGCAGUGGCUCAACCAUUGUAUGCAUUGGAAACUGUUAGACUUGAGUACAGUAGAGGAGAGUGGAAUUCCAUGUGUAGCGGUGAAAUUGCGUAGAUAUAUGGAGGAACACCGGUGGCGAAAGCGGCUCUCUGGACUGUGACUGACACUGAGGCUCGAAAAGCGUGGGUAGCAAACA
RNAcentral lists this ribosomal RNA (429 nucleotides) under uncultured Lactococcus sp. Its description in RNAcentral is "bacterial SSU rRNA". It matches the Rfam family "Bacterial small subunit ribosomal RNA", at positions 355 to 774 of the family's 1533-position model. Lineage: Bacteria; Bacillati; Bacillota; Bacilli; Lactobacillales; Streptococcaceae. The record is from RNAcentral.